RNAcentral lists this ribosomal RNA (526 nucleotides) under uncultured marine eukaryote. RNAcentral describes it as "bacterial SSU rRNA". It matches the Rfam family "Eukaryotic small subunit ribosomal RNA", at positions 1 to 591 of the family's 1831-position model. The record is from RNAcentral.
AACCUGGUUGAUCCUGCCAGUAGUCAUAUGCUUGUCUCAAAGACUAAGCCAUGCACGUCUAAGUACAAACUAAAUGAUGGUGAAACUGCAAAUGGCUCAUUACAACGGUUAUGAUGUACCCGGGAGUUCCGAUGGAUAUUUCCAGUAACACUAGAACUAAUACAUGCUCCUGCGUUUAUUAGUUUCGCACAGUCCGUCGCUGAGUCAUGGUAAACAGUUGAUCGACUCGACGUCCCGGAACAGUUUCCGCCCCAUCAGCUUCGAUGGUUGGGUAUUGGCCUACCAUAGCAACAACGGGUAACGAGGAAUUAGGGUUUGAUUUCGGAGAGGGAGCCUGAGAAACGGCUACCACAUCUACGGAUGGCAGCAGGCGCGCAAAUUACCCAAUGCAGACACUGUGAGGUAGUGACGAGAAAUAAUAAAGCGGGACUUCUGUUUCGCUAUUAUAAUGAGGAAUAACCAAAGGUCAUUCCGAUUAGCAACUGAUGGGAAAGUCUGGUGCCAACAGCCGCGGUAAUACCACCGU